Molecule: long non-coding RNA, 1038 nt
Filed under: Salmo salar (Atlantic salmon)
Lineage: Eukaryota; Metazoa; Chordata; Actinopteri; Salmoniformes; Salmonidae
Description: lncRNA (ENSSSAG00000112571.1)
Source: RNAcentral
CACACACACACACACACACAGAUUAGAUUAGAUUACAUCAGAAGAUUAGAUUAGAAGAGACAUGCACAUACACGCACACACAUUAACGUGAGCGAUAGAAAGAGAAAAAAAAGGCAGCUGAAGAAGAGAGUGAGAUACUUUUAAAUAAGAUGCAAAUGAGCUGACACAAACAGAUGAGAAUAAAAUGGUGAAAUCUGGAGGGAGGACGGUCAAAGAGGAGAGGAGGGAAAGAGUGGGGAAGGAGGGGGCACGGAGCGAGGGAAAGAGAGAGGGAAGGGAGGAAACUGAGAAGAUAAGAGUGAGAGAAGAUUUAAAACGAGAGUCAGCAAGCCAUAGGACACACAGCACACAGCCUUGGCGAUAACAAAUCUUUCAAACUGUCAUUUCUCAGAGCUCUGUGUUUUCUGCUAACGCCCCCUCUUGCCAGCCUCACACAGACAAUCGCGCACACACACACAAUGCCCCCUAUCCUCACACAGAGAGACCCGAGGCACGCAUGCAAGGCAGGCAGCUUAUUUCUUCGGAGGCUAUCUAUCCCCUCAACUUAGCUUAUCGUCCAGUAACUAAGUUCAAUCGACGACGGCAGUAUGUAUAGUCCUCGUGAGGGGCGUCGUGAUAGACCGCCUCCCAAACGGCACCCUAUUCCCUACAUAUGGCACUACUUUUGACCAGAGGCCUUUGUAAUGUGGUGCACUAUAUAGGGAAUAGGGUGCCAUUUGGUACAGAUCCUUAGACACAGUGGCAGCAGCAGGACUGCAUAAAGAGAAGGAGCUGUUGAAGCUUUUGCCUGUGAGGAGGAGGAGGAGAAGGAGGAGGAGGAAGAGGAAGAGGAAGAAGAGGCUUGAAAGCAUCUGCCCUGCACUCUGAUUCCAUAUAGUCACUGGGCUACUGUCUGGGAGGAGUUUCAUCAUAUAGAUUCAUGACCCUUCACUUUAACUAGCCCACAGCUGUUGGUGGGAAAGAAAGUCAAGCAGGUUUGCAUUGGCUGAAGUUGCAAAGUUUACAAGUUUAUAGAAAUUUUUUAAAUCAUGACGUGUG